RNAcentral lists this ribosomal RNA (253 nucleotides) under uncultured bacterium. RNAcentral describes it as "partial 16S ribosomal RNA". It matches the Rfam family "Bacterial small subunit ribosomal RNA", at positions 524 to 776 of the family's 1533-position model. The record is from RNAcentral.
GACGAACCAUGCAAACGUUAUUCGGAUUCACUGGGCGUAAAGCGUGCGUAGACGGCUAUCUAAGUCGGGUGUGAAAGCCCCGGGCUCAACCUGGGAAUUGCAUUCGAGACUGAAUAGCUAGGGUACGGUAGAGGGAAGCGGAAUUUCCGGUGUAGCGGUGAAAUGCGUAGAUAUCGGAAGGAACAUCAGUGGCGAAAGCGGCUUCCUGGACCAGUACCGACGUUCAGGCACGAAAGCGUGGGGAGCAAACAGG